AAAAUGACCAAUGAGGAGACAAGAUACUUUCAAAAGCUGGGACGAGGGAGAGGAACAAAGGGUCUGUGUCUGUCUGUAUGCUGCUCUUGCCAGAGACAGAACAGGAAUGGAGUCUUAGAACUUUUAGUAGCACCAUGGAAUGCUUUCCCUGCUCUUUGAGGAGUCUGGGGAGAGGAAAGAAGCAGUAAAGAGUUGGCAACAGCAGUAGCUUCAGGCACAAGCCUUGCAAAAAGAGAGUCCCUGCAUAGCAUGUGCAGGCUGAGAUGAAUGGCAGGAGUGGGGGCAGUAUUAAGGUCCACAUCUGGAGACGAGAAUCUGGAUGUGAAGGAUAAAUGGUACCACUUUACAUCCUGUGUUUGGAAGAGUCUGAUUCUGAACCUUCAAAGUAGAGAUUUCUUUUGUCAGUGGGAGCAGGAUUGAGACCCAAAUAUUAAGAACAAAUUCCUGAUGAUGUGAUACUAAGGUCUGCCUGAGGCUGCGCUAUACAUGGGACCCAAACAAGAUGCUGAUGGCUCUAAUCCCUCCUUUUGCUCCCCUCAUCCCCAACAUGGAGCUGGGCUGGUUAAUAUCCCAGAGUGUGUUAGAGCUUCCUAAUUUAUGGCUGCCUGCAGUGGUAUCUAAGCGCCUGGUUUAGAAGCCUGGGAUCAGUGGAGUGCAGUGUACUCGAGACACAUCGUUUCCCUCCCCCCCACGCCCACCUUGGCAUGCCCCUUAUGCUGGGAGUUCUUAGAGGUGAGGGUGAAGAAAUGCCUAUGCCAGCUC
Long non-coding RNA from Caretta caretta (loggerhead turtle), 762 nucleotides. RefSeq lists it as uncharacterized. NCBI's taxonomy places the organism in Eukaryota, Metazoa, Chordata, Testudines, Cheloniidae. The record is from RefSeq and is a predicted model, not a curated record.